Molecule: long non-coding RNA, 858 nt
Filed under: Anas platyrhynchos platyrhynchos (common mallard)
Lineage: Eukaryota; Metazoa; Chordata; Aves; Anseriformes; Anatidae
Description: lncRNA (ENSAPLG00000024952.1)
Source: RNAcentral
GUGCACACAGGUCAAAAGCUGUAUGAAGAAAGUCUGUCAACUUCCCUUCAGGCCUGAGUCUCAGAUGCAGAGUACUUUUUGAACAGGUCCACCAACUUGAAGAGAAUUGAUCUUCCUCCCAAGCUCUAUGAAACGGUGUCUCAGCUAUCAGGGAUGCUACCAUGAAUGUCAACAAGGCCGAUGGGUCCCUUUAUUCAAAUACCUUCCCAAAACAAAGGGGGCACAGAGGUCAACAGCUUUGGACCAUCAUCAGCUCUGUAUACCAUACUAUGAUGGCACAGUAUUCCCCACUACCAUACAUCUGACCUGCAGAGAAAUUAAUUUCUUAGUGCUAAAAAGAAAAAUCUCAAAAACUCCAGCUAAAAAUGGAGGUAUACAAAAUAAACAAAUUUCUACCUCUGGAUGGGUAGUCUGCUUACACUGAAACAGUAGCAGCACUAAUGAAAAUAGCAGUUUGGAAGCAGGAGAAAUGAGUAUUUGGGAACACGAAGGUUAAAUCUUCACAGAAUCACAGAAGGGUUGAGGUUGGCAGGGACCUCUGGAGGCCACCUAGCUCACCCAGAGCAGGAUGCCCAGGACCAUGUCCAGGUGGCUCUUGAAUAUCUCCAAGGAGGAGACUCCACAACUUCUCUGGGCAGCCUGUGCCAGGGCUUAGUCACCCUCACAUUGUUUUGUGAUGUUCAGAGGGAGCCUACUGGGCUCCAGUUGGAGCCCAUUGCCUCCUGUCCUGGCGCUGGGAACCACCCUCAUUGCACCCUUCCUUCAGGUGUUUAUAGACAUUGAUAAGAUUCCCCCCUUUCAAUCUUCAAAGAAACAGAAUAUAUCAAAGUUUGAAGCCAAAGUAUAAUCUGUUGGUUU